Non-coding RNA from Camellia sinensis, 847 nucleotides. The record is from RefSeq and is a predicted model, not a curated record. Lineage: Eukaryota; Viridiplantae; Streptophyta; Magnoliopsida; Ericales; Theaceae.
UCUCUCUCUAUCUCCUGUCUCGCAGCAGCCUUCACUCUUUCUCACUCACUCUCUCGUUCUUUCAUCUCUCUGUCUCUAGCAAUCGGUGAUCGGCCAGCGAGACAACUGGUGGUGAUCGAAUCUGGUUGGCCUUCGCAACACAUUCGGUUGAUCCAAUUAAUUCCAGAUUGAGAUCGUACGACCUCGCUCUCAAAUUCGAUCCGCCCAAUUUCAAAGACACCAGAAGGUUCACUGUUGGAUAUUAUACGCAAUGUCUAUGAUCUUCUUUCUCACUGUGAUAUAAAAAUUCCUAAGGUGUGGAAGAUGUAAGUUACAGAAUGUCAAAGUACUGAAUGAAGGAAUUGAUUGGACUCCAGGAAACAACACAUACUGGAAGCAUGAUCUACAAUGGUUUGAGGCAUUAAAGGUCAUACUGCAUGGAAAUGCUGAAUUUGAAGAUGCUGUCUUUCAGGUUAGAUAAUAUGCAUUAUAGAUUUAGUUGUUCAGGUUUUGAGUAAUGUUGGAGGUGGUUUUCUUCUUUUACUUGUGUACUUUGGUCUGGCAUGCUCUAACAUUGAACUAGAAGGCAUCUUUUGAUUAAGUGGAAACUAUAAAACAAUUAAGUAUUUUGUAGUGUUAUAUAUAUAUCAAUUAUUUGUAAUCGAUCAUCCAUUUCAAAUAAAAUGGUACUUUUUUUUUUGAACUAGAAAUAAAAUGGUACUUGAAAAUAUUUGUUUUUUUCUUUUUUCUUUACAUUUUGGAAGGGAUAAAUCUGAAUGCAUAGAAUUCAAGUGAUAUUUUAUUUUGGCUAUGAAUAUAGAUUAAGAUUUAAAACUCUUAUAUGUAUCAAAAUAUAGUAAAUUUAUGG